This 394-nucleotide transfer-messenger RNA is filed under the name Microbacteriaceae. RNAcentral describes it as "Rhodoglobus sp020535405 Standard tmRNA". It matches the Rfam family "transfer-messenger RNA". Rfam says of the family: Bacterial tmRNA, also known as 10Sa RNA or SsrA, is named for its dual tRNA and mRNA-like properties. Its role is to liberate the mRNA from a stalled ribosome. Lineage: Bacteria; Bacillati; Actinomycetota; Actinomycetes; Micrococcales. The record is from RNAcentral. RNAcentral also lists the same sequence under 1 other name.
GGGGAUGAUCGGUUUCGACAUUGCCUGCAAAACUGCGAGAAGCGGGUCGAGGAUGCAGAGUUAUCUCGUUAACGAUCUCUGUAAACCAAUAAGUGCCGAUACUAAGAGCACUGUCUCGGCUAAGGCCGACUUCGCCCUCGCGGCGUAGUCUCCUUACCCACUAAAAGAGACCGUCAGCCCGGGGAUGCCCUCUAUCCGGGUCCUGACGUCAUCUAGAGGGAUUGCUGCGCGGUUACGCCUUGGGACCGCGCGGGACUUGCACUAGGGCUGGGCCUGUCGACUUAGGUGCUUGUGGCAAAGGUCGGGGCCGAGUAGAACGCUUUCACAAGCUACGCCCGUAGAAGGCGCAGGAUUACAGCAGUGGACGGGGGUUCAAUUCCCCCCAUCUCCACAA